GGGGCAUCUAUUCUAGUCCCCACCUGCCAGAAUAGGUGUCAGGUGGCUCCUCACCACUCUACAUCAUUAGUGUGUACAAUGGACACAGCAUUAUCUGAACUUCCAUGGCUCUAUGUAAAGCAUUCCAUUGUAUUUUAAUAAUUACGCAAGACAAGGCCUCUUUCACAUAAGGCAAAUAAGUGUGAUUGAUUCAGACUUCUGGCAUUACUGGGCCAUGCUGCCGCAAGAAACAGGUGCAUGUGGAAUCAAGCCUGACGGAGUUAUUGGUGUGCAGAAAAAAAAAAAGAAGAAUCCAGGAACCCAUGAGAUUCUUUGGUGCCUACAAAUUCUGAUCUCCUUUAAAGGUCAUGAAAACUGUGAGAACCCCAUUAGAGCUAAAUGAGUUUUAAGGGUCUGAUUUUUUCUCAUCUGUAAUAUGAGGAAAUUUGUUACCAGUGGCAAAUCUGUACACAUCUGCAGCAACCUCAAGUC
This 471-nucleotide long non-coding RNA is filed under the name Pan troglodytes (chimpanzee). RNAcentral describes it as "long non-coding RNA NONPTRT004794". Lineage: Eukaryota; Metazoa; Chordata; Mammalia; Primates; Hominidae. The record is from RNAcentral.